This 388-nucleotide ribosomal RNA is filed under the name uncultured bacterium. Its description in RNAcentral is "bacterial SSU rRNA". It matches the Rfam family "Bacterial small subunit ribosomal RNA", at positions 28 to 417 of the family's 1533-position model. The record is from RNAcentral.
GACGAACGCUGGCGGCGUGCUUAACACAUGCAAGUCGAGCGGUAAGGCCCUUUCGGGGGUACACGAGCGGCGAACGGGUGAGUAACACGUGGGUGACCUGCCCUCAGCUCUGGGAUAAGCCUGGGAAACCGGGUCUAAUACCGGAUAUGACUCCAUGACGCAUGUUGUGGGGUGGAAAGCCUUGUGCGGCUGAGGAUGGGCCCGCGGCCUAUCAGCUUGUCGGUGGGGUGAUGGCCUACCAAGGCGACGACGGGUAGCCGGCCUGAGAGGGCGACCGGCCACACUGGGACUGAGACACGGCCCAGACUCCUACGGGAGGCAGCAGUGGGGAAUCUUGCGCAAUGGGCGAAAGCCUGACGCAGCGACGCCGCGUGAGGGAUGACGGCCU